Molecule: ribosomal RNA, 274 nt
Filed under: uncultured bacterium
Lineage: Bacteria
Description: partial 16S ribosomal RNA
Rfam family: Archaeal small subunit ribosomal RNA
Source: RNAcentral
AAACCAGCACCUCAAGUGGUCAGGAUGAUUAUUGGGCCUAAAGCAUCCGUAGCCUGAUCUGUAAGUUUUCGGUUAAAUCUGUACGCUCAACGUACAGGCUGCCGGGAAUACUGCAGAUCUAUGGAGUGCGAGAGGUAGACGGUACUCGGGAGGAAGUGGUAAAAUGCUUUGAUCUCUCGAUGACCACCUGUGGCGAAGGCGGUCUACCAGAACACGUCCGACGGUGAGGGAUGAAAGCUGGGGGAGCAAACCGGAUUAGAAACCCGAGUAGUCC